Molecule: ribosomal RNA, 1659 nt
Filed under: Triticum aestivum (bread wheat)
Lineage: Eukaryota; Viridiplantae; Streptophyta; Magnoliopsida; Poales; Poaceae
Description: partial small subunit ribosomal RNA
Source: RNAcentral
AUGGCUGGCGUGGAGGGGCAGCCGCCGCCUCAGAUCAGCAGCAUGUCCAAGGCGCAGGACGGUGGCACCAAGCCGAAUCUGGUCAAGGAGCACGUUCCGGGGAGCGAGCUCUGGACCGAUGGCCUCAUCUGCGCUUUUGAGCUCGUCAAGGGUCACAGGAAGCUGGUUCAUCACAAAUCGUUGCCAAAGAUUGAUCUCGCGCACAUGAAGAACCAGGCAGCUAGGAAUGGGCAUCGCGUUGUGAGCCCGGCACCGAAUGAGGGAGGUCUGGUGGAGAUCCCCGGCCAGGCGGAGCUUGGUAUCGAUCCUUUUGCGGUCAAAGACAGGCCAUCACAUGCUGGAGAUGUUCAUGAUCACAAGUGGGUGCCGAUUGGAUGGUCAAGGAUUGCUGAGCUGAGCCAGAGGGUUCAGUCAGAUGCUAGCUGGGAGAAUGAACAUGUGCCGAUAAGCGACAGUGAGGAUGAUUACACUGUAGCCGAUGUUGCGGCUCCGUACUGGCUGCGUCCUGGGGGACCUACAUGGUGGUUCCAUGUUACCGCAGGCCAUCCUUCCGUUGACGCAUGGUUGGGUAGUGCUCACUGGAUGCAUCCAGCUAUCAGAACUGCACUGAGAGAUGAAAGCCGGCUGAUAAGCGACCGGAUGAAGUACCUUCUCUAUGAGGUCCCAGUUAGAGUUGCAGGAGGACUGUUAUUUGAGCUUCUUGGUCAAUCAGUUGGGGAUCCAAAUCAUGAAGAGGAAGACAUACCCAUUGUACUUAGAUCGUGGCAGGCACAGAACUUUCUUUUAACUGCAAUGCAUGUGAAAGGUCCUUCAACCAAUGUAAAUGUUUUAGGAGUGACUGAAGUGCAGGAGUUGCUUAUUUCUGGUGGAAGUCAAACACCCAGAUCAGCUCAUGAAGUAAUAGCACAUUUGGUCAGUCGCCUUUCGCGAUGGGAUGACAGAUUGUUCCGUAAAUAUGUCUUUGGGGAAGCAGAUGAAAUUGAAUUGAAGUUUGUGAAUAGGAGAAAUAGUGAAGAUCUGAACCUAGUCAGCAUCAUAUUGAAUCAAGAAAUCAGGAGGUUAGCAACACAGGUGAUCAGGGUUAAAUGGUCACUGCAUGCAAGAGAAGAGAUCAUACUUGAGCUGCUCCGGCAUUUGAGGGGAAGUGCCACAAGAAUCAUUUUAGAGAGAGAGAGGAAGUCCGCAAGGGAGAUGUUGGAGGAGCAGGAAGCUGUCCGUGGCCGCUUGUUCACCAUCCAGGAUGUUAUGCAGAGCACUGUUCGUGCAUGGUUACAGGACAGAAGCCUUCGUAUCACCCACAACCUGGCUAUUUUCGGCGGUGGCGGCAUAGUUCUAUCCAUAAUCACUGGCCUCUUUGGAAUCAACGUGGAUGGCAUACCGGGAGCUCAGAAUACUCCGUAUGCUUUUGGGCUGUUUGCGGGGCUUCUCUUCUUCCUGGGGAUAAUCCUUGUUGGCGUUGGGUUGAUGUAUCUUGGGCUGACAAAUCCAGUAACCAGUGAGAAGGUGAAGGUGAGGAAGCUGGAGCUCCAGCAGCUUGUUUCGAUGUUCCAGCAUGAGGCGGAGCAGCAUGGGAAGGUGAGGGAAGGCCUGAGCCGGCACGGCUUGUCGCCGAGUUCCGCUGCAUCUUCGGGCGAUGAAGGCUACAUCCUGAUUUCCUGA